RNAcentral lists this ribosomal RNA (110 nucleotides) under uncultured bacterium. Its description in RNAcentral is "partial 16S ribosomal RNA". It matches the Rfam family "Bacterial small subunit ribosomal RNA", at positions 355 to 463 of the family's 1533-position model. The record is from RNAcentral.
UGAGGAAUAUUGGUCAAUGGGCGUGAGCCUGAACCAGCCAAGCCGCGUGAGGGAGGAAGGCGCCAGGCGUCGUAAACCUCUUUUGCCGGGGAACAAAGGGCGCCACGUGU